GGGGGGGGGGGGGGGGGGGGGGGGGGGGGGGAGGGGGGGGGGAGGGGCGAGGAGGUUGCGCCUCGGACGGGAGCGGCGGACGGGGGAGGAACACGUGGAUAACCUACCUAUAAGACUGGGAUAACUUCGGGAAACCGGAGCUAAUACCGGAUAACAUGUUGAACCGCAUGGUUCAACAGUGAAAGACGGUCUUGCUGUCACUUAUAGAUGGAUCCGCGCCGCAUUAGCUAGUUGGUAAGGUAACGGCUUACCAAGGCAACGAUGCGUAGCCGACCUGAGAGGGUGAUCGGCCACACUGGAACUGAGACACGGUCCAGACUCCUACGGGAGGCAGCAGUAGGGAAUCUUCCGCAAUGGGCGAAAGCCUGACGGAGCAACGCCGCGUGAGUGAAGAAGGUCUUCGGAUCGUAAAACUCUGUUAUUAGGGAAGAACAAAUGUGUAAGUAACUAUGCACGUCUUGACGGUACCUAAUCAGAAAGCCACGGCUAACUACGUG
This 497-nucleotide ribosomal RNA is filed under the name uncultured bacterium. RNAcentral's name for it is "partial 16S ribosomal RNA". It matches the Rfam family "Bacterial small subunit ribosomal RNA", at positions 39 to 507 of the family's 1533-position model. The record is from RNAcentral.